RNAcentral lists this ribosomal RNA (483 nucleotides) under uncultured bacterium. RNAcentral's name for it is "bacterial SSU rRNA". It matches the Rfam family "Bacterial small subunit ribosomal RNA", at positions 29 to 507 of the family's 1533-position model. The record is from RNAcentral.
AUGAACGCUAGCGGCAGGCCUAACACAUGCAAGUCGAACGGUAACAUGAGAGCUUGCUCUUGAUGACGAGUGGCGCACGGGUGCGUAACGCGUAUGCAACCUACCCUAUACAGGGGGAUAGCCCGGAGAAAUUCGGAUUAAUACCCCAUAAUAUUUUCGAUUCACCUGGAUUGAUUAUUAAAGCUUCGGCGGUAUAGGAUGGGCAUGCGUCCCAUUAGCUAGUUGGUGAGGUAACGGCUCACCAAGGCUACGAUGGGUAGGGGUUCUGAGAGGAUUAUCCCCCACACUGGUACUGAGACACGGACCAGACUCCUACGGGAGGCAGCAGUGAGGAAUAUUGGGCAAUGGACGAGAGUCUGACCCAGCCAUGCCGCGUGCAGGAUGACGGCCCUAUGGGUUGUAAACUGCUUUUAUACAGGAAUAAACCUAUCUACGUGUAGAUAGCUGAAUGUACUGUACGAAUAAGGAUCGGCUAACUCCGUG